Molecule: ribosomal RNA, 560 nt
Filed under: uncultured bacterium
Lineage: Bacteria
Description: bacterial SSU rRNA
Rfam family: Bacterial small subunit ribosomal RNA
Source: RNAcentral
AAUAGAUACCCAGGUAGUCCACGCCGUAAACGAUGGAUACUAGGUGUUCGGUGGAUUAACCCACUGAGUACCGGAGUUCACACAUUAAGUAUCCCGCCUGGGGAGUACGGUCGCAAGGCUAAAACUCAAAGGAAUUGACGGGGGCCCGCACAAGCGGUGGAGUAUGUGGUUUAAUUCGAAGCAACGCGAAAACCUUACCUGGCCUUGACAUCUCUUGAUAGCCGUGGAGACACGGUUUUGACUUCGGUCACAGGAUGACAGGUGCUGCAUGGCUGUCGUCAGCUCGUGUUGUGAAAUGUUCGGUUAAGUCCGGCAACGAGCGCAACCCCUGUCCUUAGUUACCAGCAUUAAGUUGGGGACUCUAGGGAGACUGCCGGUGUUAAACCGGAGGAAGGCGGGGAUGACGUCAAGUCCGCAUGGCCCUUACGGCCAGGGCUACACACGUACUACAAUGGCAGAAACAAACCGUCGCGAAACUGUAAAGUGGAGCUAAUCGGAAAACACUGUCCCAGUCCGGAUUGAGGUCUGCAACUCGACCUCAUGAAGUUGGAAUCGCUAGU